This 479-nucleotide ribosomal RNA is filed under the name uncultured bacterium. RNAcentral's name for it is "partial 16S ribosomal RNA". It matches the Rfam family "Bacterial small subunit ribosomal RNA", at positions 28 to 507 of the family's 1533-position model. The record is from RNAcentral.
GAUGAACGCUGGCGGCGUGCUUAACACAUGCAAGUCGAGCGAGAAGUUUUGAAAAGAUUCUUCGGAUGAAAUUUAAAAUGGAAAGCGGCGGACGGGUGAGUAACGCGUAGGCAACCUGCCCCAUACAAAGGGAUAGCAUUUGGAAACGAAUAUUAAUACCUUAUGAAACUUAACUAGUGCAUGCUAGGUAGGUCAAAGAUUUAUCGGUAUGGGAUGGGCCUGCGUCUGAUUAGCUAGUUGGUGAGGUAACGGCUCACCAAGGCGACGAUCAGUAGCCGACCUGAGAGGGUGAACGGCCACAUUGGAACUGAGACACGGUCCAAAAUCCUACGGGAGGCAGCAGUGGGGAAUAUUGCACAAUGGGGGAAACCCUGAUGCAGCAACGCCGCGUGAACGAUGAAGGCCUUUGGGUCGUAAAGUUCUGUUCUAGGUGAUGAAAACUGACAGUAACCUAGGAGAAAGCCCCGGCUAACUCCGUG